RNAcentral lists this transfer RNA (72 nucleotides) under Ovis aries (sheep). It matches the Rfam family "tRNA". From Rfam's summary of the family: Transfer RNA (tRNA) molecules are approximately 80 nucleotides in length. Their secondary structure includes four short double-helical elements and three loops (D, anti-codon, and T loops). Lineage: Eukaryota; Metazoa; Chordata; Mammalia; Artiodactyla; Bovidae. The record is from Rfam by way of RNAcentral.
UCCCUAGUGGCUCAGCUGGUAGAGCAUCUGCCCGAAAUGCGGGAGACCUGGGUUCGAUCCCUGGGUUGGGAA